ACAGUGAUGUGGAGCGAAACUCAAAAAAAUAAGUCUCAGUUCGGAUUGAGGGCUGAAAUUCGCCUUCAUGAAGCCGGAAUUGCUAGUAAUGGCAGGUCAGCAUACUGCCGUGAAUACGUUCCCGGGCCUUGUACACACCGCCCGUCACACCAUGAGAGUUGGGAAUACCCGAAGCCUGUGAGCUAACAUUUAUGAGGCAGCAGUCGGAGGUAGAAUCAAUGAUUGGGGUGAAGUCGUAACAAGGUAGC
RNAcentral lists this ribosomal RNA (248 nucleotides) under uncultured bacterium. Its description in RNAcentral is "partial 16S ribosomal RNA". It matches the Rfam family "Bacterial small subunit ribosomal RNA", at positions 1254 to 1500 of the family's 1533-position model. The record is from RNAcentral.